This 253-nucleotide ribosomal RNA is filed under the name uncultured bacterium. RNAcentral describes it as "partial 16S ribosomal RNA". It matches the Rfam family "Bacterial small subunit ribosomal RNA", at positions 524 to 776 of the family's 1533-position model. The record is from RNAcentral.
UACAGAGGGUGCGAGCGUUAAUCGGAAUUACUGGGCGUAAAGCGUGCGUAGACGGUUAUUUAAGUCGGAUGUGAAAGCCCCGGGCUCAACCUGGGAAUGGCGAUGGAAACUGGCGAGCUAGAGUACGGUAGAGGAGAGUGGAAUUCCCGGUGUAGCAGUGAAAUGCGUAGAGAUCGGGAGGAACAUCAGUUGCGAAGGCGGCUCUCUGGACCAGUACUGACGCUGAGGCACGAAAGCGUGGGGAGCAAACGGG